Papio anubis (olive baboon) is the source of this 148-nucleotide unclassified non-coding RNA. It matches the Rfam family "Metazoan signal recognition particle RNA". From Rfam's summary of the family: The signal recognition particle (SRP) is a universally conserved ribonucleoprotein. Lineage: Eukaryota; Metazoa; Chordata; Mammalia; Primates; Cercopithecidae. The record is from Ensembl.
GCCGGGCAUGGUGGCGGGUGCCUGUAAUCCCAGCUACUUGGGAGACUGAGGCAGAAGAAUUGCUUGAACCUGGGAGGUGGAGGUUGCAGUGAGCCGAUAUCACGCCACUGCACUCCAGCCUGGGUGACAGAGCAAGACUCUGUCUCAA